Molecule: long non-coding RNA, 816 nt
Filed under: Felis catus (domestic cat)
Lineage: Eukaryota; Metazoa; Chordata; Mammalia; Carnivora; Felidae
Description: lncRNA (ENSFCAG00000050291.1)
Source: RNAcentral
GGGACGCCCUGAGAGGCGAGCGGCAGCCGGGAUUCCGGUCGUGGUCCAGGGGUGGGCUUUGCACAGCGCGGCAUGUGGCUCUGAGUGCAUAGUAGCCGUUUCCUCCCCAGGCGGGCUUCGCACCUGUCCUCAUCUCCCGGGCACGGGAGGGUGCAGCCAGUGUUUACUACAAUUCUGUGAGAUGCAAAAGAUUCCGCGGGCGUCCGAACCCCUCCACUGAAUUUCUGCGACUCACACAGCGUCAAAUUGGCAGGAAGGCGCGCCCAUUCCGUUGUCUUCAAAAUCAGCGCAAAUUGACCGGCAUAGACAUUCGUUGAGAAAACGCUUCCUUUCUGGGGAGGCAACCUAGGUGUGACCUCAAGGGGAUCGUGACUGCUUUGAAUUCAGCUUCCUCAGACAGCAGUCGGGCAAGAAAGGUUCCAGAAUGGGACACUUACUGAGACAUAAAUUUGAGGGACACGAAGAGACUUCCUGUGUCCAAAAUUAACCUGAAGCUGUCGAUUUACCUGAAAUUGCCAAUUUAAGGUAAUGAAUAGAUACCGAAAAGAAGAGCUGAGAGAGAAAGACCUAGAGAAGAGAAAGUCAAACCCACAGGCUCACCUGCCCACACUUCAGAACUUUCUGAAUUCUCAGACUUUAUACCGAUGGCAGACCCCAGCUCCACUCAUCCAAAGCUUUCCAUUUUGGUCAGUUUGAAUCCCUAUGAGGCAACUGCUUUCAGAAGGGUAGGUAUUAUGAGCUCACAUAGGGCUGUGGGGGAGGGGUGAGCUGAUCUGUGGGGACUCCCCUAUUUAGUAGCUGGUCACUCCACUUCAA